UCUCAUGACUGUCUCAAAUCUUGGUGU
Molecule: non-coding RNA, 27 nt
Filed under: Homo sapiens (human)
Lineage: Eukaryota; Metazoa; Chordata; Mammalia; Primates; Hominidae
Source: RNAcentral